UACGAAGGGGGCUAGCGUUGCUCGGAAUUACUGGGCGUAAAGGGCGCGUAGGCGGACAGUUAAGUCGGGGGUGAAAGCCCGGGGCUCAACCUCGGAAUUGCCUUCGAUACUGGCUGUCUUGAGUGCGGGAGAGGUGAGUGGAACUGCGAGUGUAGAGGUGAAAUUCGUAGAUAUUCGCAAGAACACCAGUGGCGAAGGCGGCUCACUGGCCCGAUACUGACGCUGAGGCACGAAAGCGUGGGGAGCAAACAGG
RNAcentral lists this ribosomal RNA (253 nucleotides) under uncultured bacterium. Its description in RNAcentral is "partial 16S ribosomal RNA". It matches the Rfam family "Bacterial small subunit ribosomal RNA", at positions 524 to 776 of the family's 1533-position model. The record is from RNAcentral.